AAGACUAUACUUUCAGGGAUCAUUUAUAUAGUUCUUGACUUGAGAAAUGCGUUUCUAAAAUGUACGGUCUCGCUAACUACGAUGACGAGAGACGAUAUUCCUUUCUGAGCGUGAAGCUGGCACAGAGUAAUGAAUCUUUCGUUUGCUCUCUGCCAUUGAUGAACGUUCGCUGCUUCAAAAAGGAGCAUUGAUGGAAGGAAUAUGUUCAGAGUAGU
This is a small nucleolar RNA of Phyllopteryx taeniolatus (common seadragon), 215 nucleotides long. RefSeq annotates it as small nucleolar RNA U3. The transcript has a single exon. NCBI's taxonomy places the organism in Eukaryota, Metazoa, Chordata, Actinopteri, Syngnathiformes, Syngnathidae. The record is from RefSeq and is a predicted model, not a curated record.